GCUUAGGAAUCUACCAAGUAGUGGGGGAUAGCCAUUGGAAACGAUGAUUAAUACCGCAUAUAUCCUACGGACCAAAGGAGGGGAUCUUCGGACCUUUCGCCUUUAGAUUAGCCCAAGUGAGAUUAGCUAGAUGGUGGGGUAAUGGCCUACCAUGGCGACGAUCUCUAGCUGGUUUGAGAGGAUGAUCAGCCACACUGGGACUGAGACACGGCCCAGACUCCUACGGGAGGCAGCAGUGGGGAAUAUUGCACAAUGGGGGAAACCCUGAUGCAGCCAUGCCGCGUGUGUGAAGAAGGCCUU
This 300-nucleotide ribosomal RNA is filed under the name uncultured Thalassomonas sp. RNAcentral describes it as "bacterial SSU rRNA". It matches the Rfam family "Bacterial small subunit ribosomal RNA", at positions 115 to 418 of the family's 1533-position model. Lineage: Bacteria; Pseudomonadati; Pseudomonadota; Gammaproteobacteria; Alteromonadales; Colwelliaceae. The record is from RNAcentral.